UGGGGAAUAUUGCACAAUGGGCGCAAGCCUGAUGCAGCCAUGCCGCGUGUGUGAAGAAGGCCUUCGGGUUGUAAAGCACUUUCAGCGAGGAGGAAGGCAGUCGUGUUAAUAGCACGGUUGAUUGACGUUACUCGCAGAAGAAGCACCGGCUAACUCCGUGCCAGCAGCCGCGGUAAUACGGAGGGUGCAAGCGUUAAUCGGAAUUACUGGGCGUAAAGCGCACGCAGGCGGUUUGUUAAGUCAGAUGUGAAAUCCCCGCGCUUAACGUGGGAACUGCAUUUGAAACUGGCAAGCUAGAGUCUUGUAGAGGGGGGUAGAAUUCCAGGUGUAGCGGUGAAAUGCGUAGAGAUCUGGAGGAAUACCGGUGGCGAAGGCGGCCCCCCUGGACAAAGACUGACGCUCAGGUGCGAAAGCGUGGGGAGCAAAACAGGAUUAGAUACCCUGGUAGUCCACGCUGUAAAACGAUGUCGACUUGGAGGUUGUGCCCUUAAGGCGUGGCUUCCGGAGCUAACGCGUUAAGUCGACCGCCUGGGGAGUACGGCCGCAAGGUUAAAAACUCU
This 560-nucleotide ribosomal RNA is filed under the name uncultured bacterium. RNAcentral describes it as "partial 16S ribosomal RNA". It matches the Rfam family "Bacterial small subunit ribosomal RNA", at positions 355 to 903 of the family's 1533-position model. The record is from RNAcentral.